Cucumis melo (muskmelon) is the source of this 1018-nucleotide long non-coding RNA. RefSeq lists it as uncharacterized. The transcript has 3 exons. NCBI's taxonomy places the organism in Eukaryota, Viridiplantae, Streptophyta, Magnoliopsida, Cucurbitales, Cucurbitaceae. The record is from RefSeq and is a predicted model, not a curated record.
UUAACCUCUUUUUAUUUUAUUUCAUAGGAAAGAAGAAUUUUGUUGUUCAAAUGAUAUUACAGAAGGAAAUUCCUAUUGAAGUAGAAAAGUAUUUUCCAAUGAGUUGUAAGAGACAGCUUAGCUUAGACUAUAAUCACAAAAUGGUGAUGAUGGUACACCAAGAGUGCUGAAAGUAAUGUAUGAAAUCGAAGUGUCAAUAUCUCAAAUGGCUUUCAAAAGAAUCUUGAGGUGGCCUUCAAUGCUUUCAUUGAUAACUCUGGUUCAGUUGAUACCCCCUCUGAAAAUUGGGAUGUAUACCUGGUCUAACCUUAGGGAGAAUCCUGCAACAAUUCAUAUUGACAGGAAAUCAGAGGUGGGGUCCUCUUCAGAAAUUACCAGAAGCGUGAUGGGAUUUAAUGCUUGGACUAUUGUAGCUUCAACCCUCUAACGUAAUUUUAUAAGGCACUGUAGAGGCAUGAUAGAGGAGGUCCUUUCGUACUACUGUUGAGAAGGGAAGGGAAAGUUUUGGUAGAUCAUUUUCUCCCCCCUGGUCCUGGUCUUCCAUUGGCAUCGAGGAACAUAGAAAUUUUUGUGCCAUAUACACUGUUUGAUCAAUUUUAUCCAUCUAUUUCCAGACCCUUUUAGUUUCAAUUUUUCAAUGAAUAAAUUCCAUUCCAUUUCAUCCCAUCAGGGGCUUUUCCUAGAACCAAGUCAACUACCAUGCUGUCAUUCUUCUAUUUCUAUAAUCUUCCACCACUUCGUUUUUCUACUAAAAGUUAGGUCUAUGAUUUGUCUUCCUUUGAUAAAAGCAUUUUGACUUGCAAAAUUGUAGCUAGUAAUAGUGCUUUUAAUCUUUGUGCCAUUACGUUUGCUAUUAUUUUGUCCACAUAUGCCAUUGAAUUUACGGGUCUGUAGUCUUUAAUUCGUUCUUCCUUCUCCUUUUUAACUUUAUCUUGCAAUGUAUAUAGAAAUUGAUUCCUCAUCCACGUGUCUCUGAUUUAUUGUUGAAAUUUAAGGUGCUCCAAUAAAAACUUGGUUC